UGUAGUCCCAGCUACUCGAGAGGCUGAGGCAGGAGAAUGGCGUGAACCCGGUAGGCAGAGCUUGCAGUGAGCCGAGAUAGCGCCACUGCACUCCAGCCUGGGCGACAGAGGGAGACUCCAUCUCAAAAAAAAAAAAAAGGUUACAAAGAAACAGGUGAAAUUAGUUUUAUUUCACCUAAAAUGUUAGCAUUAUCCAAAAUAUCACUUCAACAUCUUAUCAAAAUAAAAAUUAUUAAUGAGAUAGCUUACAGUCUUUCUUUUCUUUGAGACAGGGUCUUGCUUUGUGGUCCAGGCUGGAAUGCAGUGGCACCAGCAUAGCUCAUUGCAGUUUCAGACUCCUGGGCUUGAGAUCCUCCUGCCUCAGUCUUCCUAGUAUUCGGACUACAGGCACACACCACCAUGCCACGCUAGUUUUUUUUUUUUUUUAAAGACAGGGUCUCACUCUGUCAGCCGGGCUGGAGUGCAGUGGCACAAUCUCGGCUCACUGCAGCCUCGAUCUCCGGGGCUGAAAUGAUCCUCCCACCUCAGCCUCCCAAGUAGCUGGGACCAAAAACAUGUGCCACCACGCCUGAAUAAUUUUUGUAUUUUUUUGUUAAGACAGGGUUUCGGCAUGUUGUCCAGGCUGGUCUUGAACUCCAGAGCUGAAGUGAUCCACCCACCUUGGCUUCCCAAAGUGUUGGGAUUACAGGCAUGAGCCACUGCACUCGGCCUAAUUUUUUUUUUUUCUGAAGAGAUGAGGUCUUGCUAUGUUGCCCAGUCCAGUCUCAAACUUCUGGCUCAAGCAGUCCUCCCGCCUUGGCCUUCCAAAGUGCUGGGAUUACAGAUGUGAGCCACCACACUGGCCCAUUCUUUCUUUUAUACUGAGUAUUCAGAAUUUUUUUAAAAUGUGUUUUCCACUUACAGCAUUUCUCAGGUUGGACUAGCCAUCUUUCAAGUGCUCAGCAGCCACAUGUGGCAAGUGGCUGCCUUAUUGGACAGCACAGCUCUGGAGGGUGAUUUUAUGUACAUCCCCACUGCUCUCUCUGCCUCCUUUAUUCCCAUCUACCCCACACCCCUGCAGUCUGUGACUAUCGUGUCCCUCUCUCCUCUCUUUCUGUCUCUUGUAAUUCUUUAAUAUGGAGAAUUAUUUCCAAUUCCUUAACAUCCUGCGCUGAUUUUUUUCUGUCUUACAUUCAAGGGUCACAGUUUUCCUCUCACCCUCAUUUCAGUCUUUUCCCAUAACACGUGACGUGCCUUUUUGUCUUGGUUGGGUAUUUAUUUGCAAUACAAGAAUGAUUGUUUUCUUUGAUACAUUAGUGACUUACAUAGUUUUCAUGUUUUUUGAGUACCUCUUUCUUGACAGAAUUUCAAAUUAAUUCUAGCGUUAAACUAGAAAUCUUUUUUUUUUUUUUUGAGACACAGUCUUCCUAUGGCAACCAGUCUGGAGUGCAGUGGUGCAAUCUCAGCUCACUACAACCUCUGCCUUCCAGAUUCAAGUGAUUCUCCUGCCUCAGCCUCCCGAGUACCCGGGAUUACAGAUGUGCACCACCAUGCCUGGCUAAUUUUUGUCUUUUUAGUAGAGACAGUUUUUUGCCAUUUUGGCUAGGCUGGUCUUGAACUCCUGACCUCAAGUGAUCUGCCUGCCUCAGCUUCCCAAAGUGCUGGGAUUACAGGGGUGAGCCACUGUGCCCAACCUAGAAAGCUUAUUUUAUUUUAUUAUUAUAAUUAAUUUUAUUUUUUUGAGAUGGAGUCUCGCUCUGUUGCCCAGGCUGGAGUGCAGUGGCGCAAUCUCUGCUCACUGCAAGCUCCACCUCCCAGGUUCACGCCAUUCUCCUCCCUCAGCCUCCUGAGUAGCUGUGACUACAGGCGCCCGCCACCACACCUGGCUAAUUUUUUGUAUUUUUCAUGGAGACAGGGUUUCACCAUGUUAGCCAGGAUGGUCUCAAUUUCCUGACCUCGUGAUCCACCCGCCGUGGCCUCCCAAAGUGCUGGGAUUACAGGCGUGAGCCACCGCGCCUGGCCUAUAAUUAAUUUUUUUGAGAUGGAGUCUUACUCUGUCUCCCAGGCUGGAGUACAGUGGCACAUCUUGGACCCCUGCAACCUCUGCCUCCUGGGUUCAAGCAGUUCUCUCUACCUCAGCCUCUCCAGUAGCUGGGAUUACAGGUGCCCACCACCAUGCCCAGCUAAUUUUUGUAUUUUUAGUAGAGAUGGGGUUUCACCAUGUUGGCCAGGCUGGUCUCGAACCCCUGACCUCAGGUGAUACGCCCGCCUCGGCCUCCCAAAGUGUGAGAUUACAGGCAUCAGCCACUGCACCCGGCCAGAAAGCUUAUUUUAAAAGGUGUGUAUAGAGCCCCUUAUGUUUCUGCUUGAUUUUUUAAAUAACAUAUUUAUGUCUAUAUAUUUUAGGAUGUAAUAUCUCACUGUAUGUGUUGCUUUGCAUCAUUGAACAUUUUUGGUAAUUAUUUUCUAUAUAUUUUAGAUAUUUCAUUAAACUAAUACAGAAUUUCAUAUUCAGGGCCAGGCAUAGUGGCUCAUGCCUGUAAUCCCAGCACUUUGAGAGUCCAAGGCGGGCGCAUCACCUGAGGUCAGGGGUUCGAGACCAUCCUGGCCAACAAGGGAAAACCCCAUCUCUAUUAAAAAUACAAAAUUAGCCGGGUGUGGUGUUGCACGCCUGUAAUCCCAGCUACUUGGAAGGCUGAGGCAGGAGAAUCGCAUGACCCCGGGGGCAGAGAUUGCAGUGAGCUGAGAUCUUGCCACUUCAUUCCAGCCUGGGCCACAGAGCAAGACUCCUUCUCAAAAAAAAAAAAAAAAAAAAAAAAUUCAUAUUCGCUCAUAUCAAAAAUGAAAAUUUAUUUUUGCAAAUUUCUAAGUGAUAGAAUUAUUUUAAUGUAGGAAAGGUUCAUCAAAAAUGGGUGUAGUGAUUGUGUUCUUUCCUAUGCUCGAAUGGAAAAUGAUGAGGGGACACGAUGUUAGAGUUGCAGUGGGAAGGGGUGGAAAAGAGGGAUUCCAGAGUGCCAGGCACACAGGUUUUCUGGAAGGUUUACAUGAGGACUGCUGUGGUUUGAAUGUGUUCCCCAAAGUUCAUGUGUUGGAAACUCAACCCCUAAUGCAACAGUGUUGACCAGUGGAACCUUUAAGAGGUGAUUAGGUCAUGAAGGCUCUGCCCUCAUGAAUGGAUGAAGCUAGAGUGGGUUAGUUAUCUUGGGAGGGGGUUCCUGAUAAAAGGAUGAGGUUGGCUUCCUUCCCUUUCUCUUUCCCCCUCCCCCCUCUCACAUGUGGUCACUCUCUUGCCCUUCCACCUUCCACCAUAGGACGGCACAGUGAGACCUUCACCAGAUGCAGGCCCCUCACUUUCCCAGUGUUCAGAACCGUAAACCAAGUGAACUCUUGCUUAUAAAUCACCCAGUCUGUGGUAUUCUGUUAUAGCAACACAAACGGACUAAGAGAGGGACACUCAGUGGGCUCUUCUACUUGAUGGAGCACUCCCUGCGUGGUGCCUUGUAUUUGUAGACAUGAUGCUGUAAAUGCUCUUUGAAUGUCUUGAAGGCUUUUAUGUUUGAGGAGUUUACAGAGAAGCACCUACAGGCUUCAGGUCCCUUCUUCUGUUGCUUCUUUGCUCCUUAGUUCCUCCCCUAACCUGGUGCUAAAUUAGAUCAUAGUGUGGUCCUUGGACCAACAGUAUCAAUAGCACCUGAAAAUCAUGCUGGAAAUACAGAUUCACAGGCUGCUCCCUAGAAUACUGAAGAAGAAACUCUAGGAGUGAGACCCAACAAUCUGUAUUUAACAAGUCCCCAGGCCCCUGGAUCCUCCUGGAAUCCCCGAUCCCUCUUGCUCCCUGGCAGAGUUUUCUAGUCCCUCUUACUUGAAGCAUGUCUUUCAGAGCCCGGCACCACCCAUCUUGAGUAUCUGGUGAGUUCUGUGGUCUGCAUGUCCAUGUUUGGGACAUUCUGGGAAGGGUGGCCCAGGCUGUGAUUUGCCAUCUACUGCAGGCUAUGGAUGGUAUUCAGAAGGGAGGGGAGAUGCUGUGUGCGUGUUCUGAAGGGUUUCCCACUAAACAGAUCAACCCUCUCCAUAACUAUUUGAUUUUUACUUUAUCUCCUCGUUGACUUCACAGUGUCAGUGCAGUUUGUGUAAACAUCUCUAUGGGGUGAUGCAUGCAGAUAAAUGUUUAUGUGAACAUAUAAAGUCUGCAUGUGUGGGUGAACACUCCACAUCAGGUCAUUGUCCAUCAUUACAUAUCUGUGGUGUCUGGCUCAUUCGUCUCGUUUUCUGUCAUUUUACCUACUUUUACCUGAAGUACAAUGACUAUUUAAUAACUAUUAAAUGUUUCAUUUCAGCUACACCUCUAUGGUAUUUUUUUCACCUCAUAUCAUACCUUCCUCCCUCACUGGACUUCAGUGUGGGACCUGCAGGUCUCAGGCCUUCUGGGAAGUCCCAGCUUUUCUUGAAUGUUUUCUCUCUCUGGCCAGCUCAGGCUGGAGCAGUGGGUGUUGGUGCCAUCCUGUGGCUAUAGGUGAUAAGCCGGCUGUUCUUCACUGACCUGGUCUUACCUUGAACCCUGGAGUUCUCACAUGCAUGGAUUUAAAUGCUGUGUCUUUCUAAGGGCACAUUAUGGCCAUUUUCCUUAUCUCCCUCCCAAGGGGCUGUUUGCUGUGUUUAUUGACUCCCUGUUUAAAAAACAUAUAUAUAUAUAUAUAUAUAGACGAAUUAGGUUGUACCCCAUAAAUUGCAUGUUUGAAAAAUAUUUCAAAGAAUAGUUUAUUUUUUUUUGCUGAUUUUUAUGUAUCUUCUAAAUUGUAUAUAUUUAUGGGGUAUAAAAUGAUGUUGUGAUUUUUCAAUACAGUGUGGAAUGAGAAUCAAAUUAACCUAUCCGUUACCUCAAGUACUUGACUUUUUUUGUGAUGAGAAGGCUGUUUAUCACUUUCACUCACCAGCUCCUGCUGUCUUCCAUGCUGGGGACAGGAAAGGCUCCACGCUUGACUUUCCCUCCUGUUUUCUUAUCUGCUGUCAACCCCUGAAUGUACCCUCCAGGAUUGCCUUCUAGACCUUCUACAUCUAGCUCGAUCAUUGUGCACCCACCUUCCUCCCAGGGACUGUCCUUAGGGAGUGACUUUAUGCACAAACUUCACAUGCUCUUCCUGCCUCCUUCAUCCCCAUAAGCCCCCAUCUCAGCCCCAUCUGAUUAUUUCUUCCCUGUCUCAUUUCCUGUUAUGCUGUUGGUUUUCUAACCUGAAGGGUAACUUCUUACUCCUUAGUUUUUUGCCUUAAUUUCUAAGUCAUAGGCUACUUUCAGGCUAAAAGUUUUCCUCCAGCCAUGGUUUUAGUCUCAUUCUAUAAGUCUUGCUAGGUAGUUUAUUCAUUGGAAAUUUUUUGUUUUUGAGACAGAGUCUCGCUCUGUCACCCAGGCUGUAGUACAGUGGUGCCAUCUCAGCUCACUGCAACCUCCGGUUCCCGGGCUCAAGCAGUUCUCUUUCCUCAGCCUCCUGAGUAGCUGGGAUUAUGGGUGCCUGCCACCACACCCAGCUAAUUUUUGUAUUUUUAGUAGAGACGGCAUUUCACCAUGUCAGCCAGGUUGGUCUCGAACUCUUGACCUCAAGUGAUCCGCCCACCUUGGCCUCCCAAAAUACUGGGAUUACAGGGGUGAGUCACCACACCCCACCCCUUGGCACUAUAUUUAAGUGAUGAUAUUUUUGGACACUGAGGUAGCCUCAUUCCACAGGUUUAGAUCUGAAGCAUUUUCACUAUUGCUUCUUUCCAUGUAUUUCCUGGUUUGCAGGUCAGUUUCUUCUUUUAAUUCAUCAUUGACACAGUGGUUUAUAUGGCUUUUAAUUUCAAAAGAUUUUUUAAAAUAUCUUUUUGCCGAUUUUUAUCUAUGUUAAUUUUAACUAGACAUGUUCCCUGGAAGGACAUCACUAGUUUUUUUUUUUUUUUUUUCACUCUGUUUAUAAUUUAGGUGGAUUUUCACAUCUCAAGCCAGCUAAGAGUAUGGGAAAUAGGACUCGUUAAAGCACAGAUAUCACACAAGUGAUUCAGAUUCACGAGGGUAAUCCAGAUGAAGGUAUAUCAUUGUACCUGGCCCGCAUCACUCAGUAACUGUCACCUUUGAUUUAUUGAUUUACUUGAGAUGGAGUUUGGUUCUGUCCCCGAGGCCGGAGUGCAAUGGCGUGAUCUCUGCUCACUACAACCUCUGCCUCCCAGGUUCAGAGUGAUUCUCCUGCCUCAGCCUCUUUAGCUGGGAUUACAGGCACCCACCAACAUGCCCAGCUAAUUUUUGUAUUUUUAGUAGAGAGGAGCUUUCACCAUAAUGGCCAGGCUGGUCUUGAACCUCAAAUGAUCUGCCCACCUUGGCCUCCCAAAGUGCUAGGAUUACAGGCUGGAGCUACAGAGCCCAGCCUGUCACCUUGAUUUAAAUGAAUGCAGCUUUCUUGGUGUCUUGAUGUUUGUGAAUUUCUGUGGAGUUUGAUACUGCUCCUUUUGCUGCUUGUUUUUCCAGAGUCCCCUUAUCACUUGACGUGCUGUUAUAUUAUGUUUGAUUUAUUACAGAUACCCCAUCAGCCUGAGUCUCUUAAAGGCCUUUAUACACAUAUGUCUACACAUAGGGAUUUGGAUGAUCUCGGGAUCCCACAUCCUCGCUGUCCCCUGUCCCCCCGCAACAUCCCCCACCAAUACCUUUCUGAAGUUUUCUAGUCCCUCCUUUUUGUUUGUGCUCCUUAAAGCCCAGCCCCAUGCCUGACUUUGGUUCCCAGUGAGCAUUGUACAUUUGUGGAUAUUAAAUCUUUGGCAAAGUCAUUUACCUGGGCUGGAAUAGGGCUCUUGGCUGAUUCUUUUUCCUAAACACCCACCCAAUGGGAGAGGCUGAUACUCAACAUGCAAACCUUGUGUUUUAUUUCUCCAGGCGAAGGGAUGUUGGAAGACAUUCUGGAAGGGGUGGGGUGUGAAGAUUUACAAAUAAUCUUUGAAUAUCUGCUUCAUGAUAGGUCUUGGAGGUGCCUUGUGGGUGUGGCUUUGGGGGGAUGGUUACGAGGAAAUUGUGGAUAUUAAGGAAGUCAGGAAAGGAAAAGAUCAGUCACAAUUCAACAAUUCAGAGAAAGCUCCUAAGGGACUUUCUGGCUGCUUGAUGCCCAGAGGCCAGGCCCUCACUUCGUAUUAAGGCUCAGGACUGUGGAUAGAGAAUUUAAAGGGGCACCAAAAAAAACAUUAAAAUAGAUAAACAUAUUUUUAAUGGAAUACCUUUAAAAAUGCAAAUCAAUGCACAAAGAAAACGCCCAUGUUGAACAAAAUGGUGACAAUUGUGCCUUCUCUUCAACACCACCCCACCCUCCAGAAGUUUCCUUCAAGCCGUACCUGUAAGAGUAAAAAUAGAGAAAAAUAAAAACCUUUAAGUUAAAAGAUAAAAAUGAGCUGGGUGUGGGGGCUCAUGCCUGUAAUCCCAGCACUUUGGGAGGCCGAGGCAGGUGGAUCACUUGAGGUCAGGAGUUCGAGACCAGGCUGGGCAAUGUGGUGAAACAUCGUCUCUACUAAAAAUACAAAAAAACAAAAAAAAUUUAGGUGGGCACAGUGGCAGGUGCCUAUAAUCUCAGCUACUUGGGAGGCUGAGGCAGGAGAAUCGCUUGAACCUGGGAGGCGGAGGUUGCAAUGAGCCAAGAGCAUGCCAUUGCACUACAUCCUGGGAGACAGAUCAAGACUCUGUCUCAAAAAAAACAAAACAAACAAACACCUCGGGAAUUUCUGGCUCAAGCCUCUGAUCCUCACCACCACUAUCACCAGGGGAUCUUUUGCUGUUCACCCAAGUCCAGCCUUCAUCCCCUAAACUCCUGGGGAAAUGCGACCAGACUCUCCCCAUCUCCAUUCCGGGAGUUUGCCUCAAGCCAAUCUUGUUCUCCCUGAAAACGGCCUUGGGGUUCCCCAUCCUGGUACACCCUCCUACUCUAGGGGACACAGGGCCGAUGUUGCCCCCCAAACCGGCAGUCCCAGGAGCGCAUCGCUUCUCCCUGAACUGCUUCUGCCCCAACCUGGCAUCUGCUUGGGGAAGGGCACCCCAGGGUGGAGACUUGCAUGGUGAGCUCAGCUCACCUUCAGGUGAAGGUCAGCGCACACUGGCCACCCGGGACCACAUUUUCCAGAAUCCUUUGGCGGUCCCGCGAUGCUCUCGUGGUCAGCAGCUCUCAUUGGGUUGCAGAGGAGAAACUUGUCCGUGUCACUGGGGCAUCUUAACAGUCGGCUCCUAAGCUUGGUUGUGUGCGCUGUGCAGAUGUGAGAGGCACACCGUGUGGGCGAAGCCAACUGCUUGCCCGCCUCUCUAGCUCCAAAACUACAAUCCCCAGAGGCCUCUGCGGUCACUUCCACUACCCACCCUACACACCUUCUGUGUGUCGCGUUAAUGUCAGAAGCACUUCUGUUUGGUGGCCCCGGCGGGUUAGGCUGGUUGGCACCCAGGGAAGCACCCAGGUCUUCCCCACACCUCUGCACCUCAUUACCUGACCGGCUUCUGGAUCCGCAGCGUGCAUCUGCAGUCUGUGAGUCCCCUAUAGGCACUCAGUAUGCCCCUCUGCGUGUCCCUCUGUUACUCAUGGGGACGCAGUCUGGGAGCCGUAGACCUGUCUCAGAACUAGGGCGCCCUCCUGUGGGCACCUCCAGGCCAUUUUCCUUUCACUGGAGCCCACCGGGUUAGAGACAGACCCUCACUCUGUUGCUUGGGGACAAAGGCUUCACUCCCUGGCCCGAGCUUGGGGCUGAGCUAGAGGGUUCGGGGUCAUCCUGGGCCCCUCUGGAUGGGAAUUGGCUGCCCUGUUAAUUUCUGUGACAUCCCCGACCCUAACAGUGGGUCUCUGGAGCAGACUGCGCUUCACCCCAUGGGAAGGGGGUUUCCACCUGAGAGUCAAAAAAGAGGUGAGAAUUCUCUGUAAUUCCAUCUUGACUGUCAACAGGAUGGAUUCUGUUACCAUUUCUUGCCCUGGAGGCUGCCUUGUUGGUACUGGGGAAAGUUCAUUCCUAGUCCUGGAAAAGUGGCUCAUUCCAACUGGAGUCCUCCCUCAGCAUUCCUUUCUGCUGCAUCCAUACUGCAGUCAUUCAUGUUGUUAAUUGUAAACAAACACACAUGGAACAGUUUAAAUAAAACUACACAGAUGUGUGUGCUUAAUUGUUCAGUGAUGUGGAUAAAGGGCAGGGACAGCAGAGAUGCCUGUGAUUUCAAGGGCUUGGGGAGGACUCGUACAAGUAGAGCUGUCUCAGCUGCCCCUGACCGGUUUGGUACCUUGGAGACUCGGGGGAAGGCAUUGCACUCGGAGGCAGAAGGAAACAUAGUCUGAGGCUGGGCUCUUGCUACAGG
RNAcentral lists this long non-coding RNA (9307 nucleotides) under Homo sapiens (human). RNAcentral's name for it is "non-protein coding LINC00665:22". Lineage: Eukaryota; Metazoa; Chordata; Mammalia; Primates; Hominidae. The record is from RNAcentral.